UUUACGGAAGAGAGUGACUAACAGGGAAAAAGGGGAGUAAGAGAGAGAAAGAGAGUAAUGUAAAGAGAGAGAGAGAUACUUACGGGCCGGCCACCAAUCUUACGGCGGAGACCCGGCGGCACGCCGGCGGUUACAUCCAUACCACGCUGUCCGGAGGACGAGCGUUCCAUCAGUGAUGUCGGUUCGGUAGUACAGUGUCCUACAAUCGAUUUGGCUUCAAGUCGAGGUCCCCAACGACCUGCAACGGCCGAACAGUUAGGGUCACGUCGCAAACUGGAACUACGAUUCCCAUCGGUUAUUGUAUCCCCAUCGCCACCACAUCAUCCUAUUGGAACGCGAAACCCUACUCACCAUCUCCGGCGAUUAUGCUUCAAACGCAGUAUCAGUGGCAAAAAGGAACCGGAGAUGUUUAUAGAUCAAAUGUGUGCUAUGAUAUCAAACUUGCAGAGGGGGAUGUAAAGAGAGAAGGAAGUAACACAAUAAUGGGAAGACGAUGAUUUGAAUGAUGAUUUCUCUAUGUAGUUGAGGAGGGUGAAAGUCAAGGUAUAAAUCUUGAUCAUGCACCUUUCAUUUUUGCAUAAGUGCUACAGAAACAUUUGUGAUGAAUCAACGUGGAAUUAAAGUUUUGAUA
Long non-coding RNA from Helianthus annuus (common sunflower), 631 nucleotides. RefSeq lists it as uncharacterized. The record is from RefSeq and is a predicted model, not a curated record. NCBI's taxonomy places the organism in Eukaryota, Viridiplantae, Streptophyta, Magnoliopsida, Asterales, Asteraceae. The transcript is spliced from 2 exons.